GCCGGGGUUCCCUAGCCUGACUCAUCAUACGGUAAGUCCUAGAUUGGUAAGGGGUAGGCCUGGAAAGCCUAUGACCUCUCGGGGUCUCCGGGGUUCAAAUCCCCGUCCCGGCA
RNAcentral lists this transfer RNA (113 nucleotides) under Nitrososphaerota archaeon. Its description in RNAcentral is "Thaumarchaeota archaeon tRNA-Ser". The stretch from base 30 to 110 matches the Rfam family "tRNA". From Rfam's summary of the family: Transfer RNA (tRNA) molecules are approximately 80 nucleotides in length. Their secondary structure includes four short double-helical elements and three loops (D, anti-codon, and T loops). Lineage: Archaea; Thermoproteati; Nitrososphaerota. RNAcentral also lists the same sequence under 1 other name. The record is from RNAcentral.